Clupea harengus (Atlantic herring) is the source of this 1390-nucleotide long non-coding RNA. NCBI's taxonomy places the organism in Eukaryota, Metazoa, Chordata, Actinopteri, Clupeiformes, Clupeidae. The record is from Ensembl.
CUCAUUAAUCAUCUGGUGAUGCAAUUAAAGGCAAAUUCAAUGGCAUGUGAUAACAAUAAGACAACAAGAUGUCAAAUAUCCUUUGCCUUUGCCAAAUUACUUUUCAAAAUGCUGUCAUUUUUUUCUAAUAAUCAUAUUCGCAUUAAGUUCAAGUCACUUAUGCUUGCCUACAGAGUGCUUGCUGGUUCUGCUCCCACCUACCUAAAUGCUCUUGUAAGGGCAAAUGUUACACCCAGGACGCUGCGCUCGUCUAGUAAGCGUCGUUUGGCACUGCCGUCUGUGCAAGCACGGCAAUCCAGACUAUUCUCAUUUGUAGUUCUACGUUGGUGGAACGAACUGCCUAGUACUACCAGAGCAGGGGUGUCCCUCUCUACCUUCAAGAAGCUUUUGAAGACCCAACUCUUCAGAGAGCACCUCCCUUCUUCAGAGAGCAUUCCUCCUAACUGGCACCUGACUAGCGCUUAACUUGCACUUCAGCAGUUACAUUCCUGCACUUCUUUUUCCUUUUUUCUAGGUCGUUGUUUUUCUAAUUCUCAUGUAAAGUAGUAUUUAUUGUUACACCAUGCUUUUUAUUGCUCUUAGCUUGACUGUUCUCUCCCUUGUACGUCGCUUUGGACAAAAGCGUCUGCUAAAUGACGAAAUGUAAAUGACUAAAUGUAGGAUGAAGUUCAAGUCUCUGUAGUAAAAUAUGAUGAUCUAUAGUGUCAAAAGCAGCACUGGGAGCAAGUCUAGAAGAACCAGUAUUGAAGUGCACCCAUGAUUAGAUGCUAUUAGUCGGUCAUUCAGAACUUUGACUAAGGCCAUUUCAGUGCUGUGAUGGACUCUAAAGCCAGAUUGGACGUCUUCUUCGAUAUUGUUUUUAUGUAGAAAAGAAGUAAGUUGCAUUGCUAUUACUUUUUCAAGGAUUUUUUUACAAGAAAGGGAGGUUGGAUUUAGGCCUUUAGUUAGCCAGAUUAUCAGGAUCAAGAUUACGCUUUUUGAGAGAUGGUUUGAUCACUGCUAUUUUGAAUGAUUGUGGAACGUAUCCUGAAAUAAGUGAAUUGUUCAUUACUUUAAAUAGUGUCUCAUUUAAUAAGGGUAGUGCGUGGUUAAGUAGUUUUGUAGGGAUAGGGUCUAGUAGGCACAUUGUUGAUUUAGAUGAGGAGAUCAGGGAAUUGAGGGAGGUCAAUGGGUGUGAAGGAUUCAAGGAGUGCACCAGGUUGUGGGGGUGUCACAGAGGUAGUCAUGGUGAUUCUAGGAGUGCACCAGGUUGUGGGGGUGUCACAGAGGUAGUCAUAGUGCAUCCUGGAGGGGCUGUAGGGUCAUGGAGGGGGAGAAGACAGUGAAUGUUUUCUCUUAUUGUUAAAACUUCAACAGUACCUUUAGCUGCUCCAUUCCUGGUUCCUGGUCA